This 465-nucleotide ribosomal RNA is filed under the name uncultured Pelotomaculum sp. RNAcentral describes it as "bacterial SSU rRNA". It matches the Rfam family "Bacterial small subunit ribosomal RNA", at positions 920 to 1382 of the family's 1533-position model. Lineage: Bacteria; Bacillati; Bacillota; Clostridia; Eubacteriales; Desulfotomaculaceae. The record is from RNAcentral.
CCCGCACAAGCGGUGGAGCAUGUGGUUUAAUUCGACGCAACGCGAAGAACCUUACCAGGGCUUGACAUCCCCUGACCGCGUAUGAAAGUACGUUUUCACCCUCGGGUGACAGGGAGACAGGUGGUGCAUGGUUGUCGUCAGCUCGUGUCGUGAGAUGUUGGGUUAAGUCCCGCAACGAGCGCAACCCCUACGUUUAGUUGCUAACGCGUGAAGGCGAGCACUCUAGACGAACUGCCGUUGACAAAACGGAGGAAGGUGGGAUGACGUCAAAUCAUCAUGCCCCUUAUGUUCUGGGCUACACACGUGCUACAAUGGCCGGUACAGACGGAGGCGAAGCCGCGAGGCGGAGCAAAUCCGAAAAAGCCGGUCUCAGUUCGGAUUGCAGGCUGCAAUUCGCCUGCAUGAAGUCGGAAUCGCUAGUAAUCGCAGGUCAGCAUACUGCGGUCGAAUACGUUCCCGGGCCUU